CAAACAUGGCGGCCAUCAUGGAGCAUCUUCAUGAAGUCGCUCGUGAGUUAGCAAGAGAUAUUUUAGACCUUGCAGAGAAUGUAGAAGCAGGAGCUGCUCAAUCACAGCAUGUGACAAGUAAAGCAGAGGAAUUUCUGUAAGUUCUUGGAGUUAUUUCCGCUCUUUCCGACCAAGAUAUUGACCGACAAGUGUUUGCAAACUUGGAAGAACUUCUCCAGCGCUUCUCCGGUACCAGUGCACAACACACACCCGGACCAGGACGCCUGGCUCUUGACAUUCCCACUGCUGUUCUGGAGCAUCAUGUUCUUUGUGGAUUACCACCGUGUGAAAUUGCAGAGAGUUUUGGAGUGUCAACGAGGACAAUCAGGAGGCACAUGAAACAAAGUGGUCUAAGAAAGACUGAUCUCUAUUCAGAUGUUGCUGAUGAGGAGUUGGACCAUAUUGUGAGUAAAGUCCACAGAAGCCAUCCAAACACCGGCUACAAGCUGAUGCGUGGACUUCUGGAUGCAAGAGGUGUCCGUGUUCUAAGAUAGAGAGGAUGUGGAGAGAUGUUUAUGAGCAUUCCCUAGACCUCUUCUAUCAGAUCUUCACUUCACUGGAAGAUCAGGGAACACUUAAUCCAGACAACGAAGUCUAUCUUUAUGUCCUGCAUCGGAUCUUCCUUCCACAAAUUCAGAGAAGCCUCAGCUCCUUCAGAGAUGCUUGGAACUUCCAUGGACUGAGAACUGAAAGGAAUCAAUCACCGCAUCAACUCUGGAGCAGACACAGAGAGCAAGGCCCAAUGGAGGAGCCUACAGAGGUUCAAUAAAGAUUCUUCUGAGUGUACUAUUAAAACCAUAGGUUUCUCAGGAGAGCUGUCUUUGGUAGCUCAAAAAAUUUAGAAGUGUUUCUCACUAGUACUUUAUUGAAGUAUCACCUUCAGCAUGUGUUGUUCCUCAAAUCUCUUUAAAAAACACAUUUAAAAACAGAGCUGAUAAUUGGACCCACCACCUAUUAAUAGAUGGGUUUCUGUUCUCACUUUGUUUUUAUGUUGAUUUAAUGGUGAUAUCCACUUGAUGAUUAUGGUGAUUGCCACUUUACCAGUUUCAGGAGUUUCUCUGACUGAUGCAAUUGGAUCAUAUCUGGAGACAGUGCAAAUUUUGUCAAGAAUCAUAUGAGACUGAUGGCCAAACCAAGCCUUUUAUUGUGUGUUACAACAAGCACAAAUGCACUGAAAACUGAGGUUUUCUAAACCUUUCCCUUUGUCACUGUUACUGUUGUCAAAAAUGUAAAACAAUAAUCUGCACUUUUGUUGUAAGUAAAACUACUUGUUUAUGCUGAUGAAGCUAGAAAUGCAGGACUGAUACCGUUUUGGUAAAUAAACAAAAUUUUAAAAAGAACAAAAUAAUUGAAACUACUGCACAUUAUUUUAAAUGUGUUGGAACACUGAACUUGUGUCAAAUUGACCUGGUCGAUGAAACAAAGCAUAGCAAUAUCACUGCCUGAAAAUACUUAAACAAGACCAAAUCCAGUGUGUGCACUGUUAAUAGCAGCAACAAGUGCUUCCUCAAAGUCUCUAUAGGUUUUGUAAUGAGCUGGCAGCUUCAGUGUUUCGAAGCACGUGGAGGACGCAGGAAAGGUUCCCCCAGAAAUCUCCACUUUGAGUUCAGGAGGAAGCAUUUCCCAGCCGACCCAGAACUUCAGCAACUGGGCCAGUGUGUCUGAUGAAGCUAAAAAGUCAUAACAUGGAUUAAAGGAAACAGUUGGUGCACUGAAA
Long non-coding RNA from Stegastes partitus (bicolor damselfish), 1756 nucleotides. RefSeq lists it as uncharacterized. The record is from RefSeq and is a predicted model, not a curated record. The transcript has 3 exons. NCBI's taxonomy places the organism in Eukaryota, Metazoa, Chordata, Actinopteri, Pomacentridae.